Non-coding RNA from Cinara cedri, 1139 nucleotides. The record is from the annotation of a GenBank genome assembly. NCBI's taxonomy places the organism in Eukaryota, Metazoa, Arthropoda, Insecta, Hemiptera, Aphididae.
ACUUAUAAAUUAAAAUAUAUUUAUCUAUACUCAGUUAUUAAAUAAUAUAAUGGAUCUUUUAUUUUUUUGUAGCAACGUCGAUUGGUAUCUCUAUAUAACGACGUGUAUCUAUAGCGGUUAUUGUGUUGUAUUUGAAAAAGUCGAAAUCACUCUAUCGUUAACGUUUUAAUACUUAUGUAUAAUGCUCGUAUAGCGAAUGAUUAAUUAUUUUGAGUCAGUGCUGGGAAACGAAUGAACCCCAUUAAGCCGCUUUGACGAAGGUUUUGUAUAGCUGUCCUAAUGGUUUUUAUGUUAAUUUUACUGUGUAGAGGUAGACUUUAGAGAGUUUACAGAGUGUCUCGCCUGGUAUGUCCCAGCAAAAUGUCUCCGUUAUUUCAAACACCGAUUUUCAGAAAUAAUGCUAAGGGAAUACCAAGUGGAAAAAAAUGAUAUUUAGUCCGCAAAACUAGACAAAUCUGUAUAGGGUUUGGGUUUGACGGAUUUAAAUUUUGAAAGUGGAUUUGGAUUGGUUAACAAGUUUACUAGGUAUUUUUUAUAACCGGACAAUUGCAUGUAUAUGUGUUAUGAUGAAGAAUAUAAUUAUUAGAAAACUACUACACUCGUAUUUUGUUCAUCGAUAUCAUUUAACUGGUCAUUAAGUUAACAAAAUAUGCGGGUAUUGCCAAUAGGCCUCUUCCUCCAAUCAUGUUACUCAUGUCAUUAUUUUCAUCAUUUAUCAUUUACUUAUUAUUUCCUUGUACGGAUUGUAAAUUUCUUAUUUCUUAUUUCUUGAAUAAAAAAAAAAAAUAAUAAUCAUUAAUUUCAUAAAUUAGAAAACUGUUGUUAAUUAAUCGAAAUCUGUUUUCAAUUUAAAAUCUAAUUUUACCCAAUCCUUAAAUUUUUUUUGUGUUGUUUUUCAGUCUAAAACGUCAUAAUUGUCCAUUAAAAUGGAUUUCCCCUUAUAACUAUCGAGCAGUAAAUUAGUGGAAAAGUCGCAUUAUUAUGGUAGUCGAUAAAAUUUUUCGAAAUUGAAAUAAUUUUGAUAGCCGAUUCUAAACCCCUUUAUUUUAUCGGAGGUACCAAGGCAUAUUGUUUAUUUUUUAAAACUGUCAGUAAAUUUGAAAUUAAUAUUAACAAUAGUUUUGCGUGCUUUUUAUGGA